UUUUUUGGAAUCAGUACCUUAAGGAGAAUACUAGUGAUUCGUUAUGAUACACAGCCUUGUAAGGAAUUUGUUUUGCUGUAUCUGCGGAAUAAGUUUCCAGAGUUUUCAGAUGUCGAUGAUGGAUAUGAGGUAUGGGCUGAUAAACUGAUCGAGUGUACUAUUGCAUACUAUUCCCAUGAUAUCAUUCACUGGGAAGAUUUGCAAAAAUCACCCUAUAACAGACAUGGUAUUUGGAAACAACGAGAGUGUAUCUGUCAACUGGUCGAACCACAUCUUAGCGAACUGAGUUUAGGACAGUGUGUGUGGUUUACAAAUUUAGGCAAGCGUGAACACAAGACAUUUUCAAAUGGAACUGUGACGUAUGGAAGGACUAUAAUAUUGUGAAAAAACGAAAGGAUUAAUGUAGAUAUUUAUUAUGUUCAUUUAAAAUAGCUUUGUACUCUCUUUUUUUUUAUUAAUCAUGAAAGUUUGGGUUAACAUUAGUCAUUUUUGAUGGGGCCGUAGUUCAGGACAGAUUAUAAUUCAGCGA
This is a long non-coding RNA of Mytilus californianus (California mussel), 529 nucleotides long. RefSeq lists it as uncharacterized. The transcript is spliced from 3 exons. Lineage: Eukaryota; Metazoa; Mollusca; Bivalvia; Mytilida; Mytilidae. The record is from RefSeq and is a predicted model, not a curated record.